GGCUCCUUCAAGUUUACCCGGCUUAAUGGUCGGGAGGUUAUUUUCACGGAUUCUCUUAAUGAUCCGAAGUCAGAAGUUUACCGCAAUCUGGAAAACCUUUGUUACAAAAUCCUCCACGAUGUUUUGAUGAACAUCGUAAGCGCAAAAAACAAUGAGUGGGAUGUUGAAAUUACUGGAUUCUCGUCGGGCAGCGUCGUUGUCGAUUUUGAAGUCGUGGUCUUCGACUCCGAUAGGGCUAACCUCAACGCCGAAGCAGCAGCAGUAGAGACAUCCCUGGGACUUCAACAGCCAGGCGUUUGGCAAACUGCGGAUGGUUCUGUCAGUCUCAAUGUGGAAUCCAUUGUUGCUUUCGGUGAAAUCUGCCUUACUAAUCCAUGUUCAAAUGGGAUGUGUGUUACGUCGCCCGGAGACAUAGAUUACAGAUGCAUUUGUCAUUAUGGAUAUACGGGACAAUAUUGUGAAACAGGUGAGCGACCAUUAAUUCCUCAAGCACUUUCUUUAAAGAAAAAUCCAACCU
Molecule: long non-coding RNA, 517 nt
Organism: Strongylocentrotus purpuratus (purple sea urchin)
Lineage: Eukaryota; Metazoa; Echinodermata; Echinoidea; Camarodonta; Strongylocentrotidae
Exons: 3
Source: RefSeq, a predicted model, not a curated record